AAAAGAACCCCUGUGAGGGGAGUGAAAUAGAACCUGAAACCGUGUACGUACAAGCAGUAGGAGCACCUUCGUGGUGUGACUGCGUACCUUUUGUAUAAUGGGUCAGCGACUUAUAUUCAGUGGCAAGUUAACCAUCUAGGGGAGCCGUAGGGAAACCGAGUCUUAACUGGGCGUUCAGUCUCUGGAUAUAGACCCGAAACC
RNAcentral lists this ribosomal RNA (201 nucleotides) under Vibrio parahaemolyticus. RNAcentral describes it as "partial 23S ribosomal RNA". It matches the Rfam family "Bacterial large subunit ribosomal RNA", at positions 517 to 722 of the family's 2925-position model. The record is from RNAcentral. Lineage: Bacteria; Pseudomonadati; Pseudomonadota; Gammaproteobacteria; Vibrionales; Vibrionaceae.